This 441-nucleotide ribosomal RNA is filed under the name uncultured bacterium. RNAcentral's name for it is "bacterial SSU rRNA". It matches the Rfam family "Bacterial small subunit ribosomal RNA", at positions 340 to 774 of the family's 1533-position model. The record is from RNAcentral.
UACGGGAGGCAGCAGUGGGGAAUAUUGCACAAUGGGCGCAAGCCUGAUGCAGCCAUGCCGCGUGUAUGAAAAGGCCUUCGGGUUGUAAAGUACUUUCAGUCGUGAGGAAGGUGUUAAGGUUAAUAACCUUAGCAAUUGACGUUAGCGACAGAAGAAGCACCGGCUAACUCCGUGCCAGCAGCCGCGGUAAUACGGAGGGUGCGAGCGUUAAUCGGAAUUACUGGGCGUAAAGGGCACGCAGGCGGUUAAUUAAGUUGGAUGUGAAAUCCCCGGGCUUAACCUGGGAAUGGCAUUCAAGACUGGUUAGCUAGAGUCUUGUAGAGGGGGUAGAAUUCCAUGUGUAGCGGUGAAAUGCGUAGAGAUGUGGAGGAAUACCGGUGGCGAAGGCGGCCCCUGGGACAAAGACUGACGCUCAUGUGCGAAAAGCGUGGGGAGCAAAAC